GAUGAAGAACGCAGCGAAAUGUGAUAACUAAUGUGAAUUGCAGAAUUCCGUGAAUCAUCGAGUCUUUGAACGCACAUUGCGCCCCCUGGUAUUCCGGGGGGCAUGCCUGUCCGAGCGUCAUUGCUGCCCAUCAAGCACGGCUUGUGUGUUGGGUCCCGUCCCCCUCUCCCGGGGGACGGACCCGAAAGGCAGCGGCGGCACCGCGUCCGGUCCUCGAGCGUAUGGGGCUUUGUCACCCGCUCUUGUAGGCCCGGCCGGCGCUUGCCGACACCCAACCAUUUUUUUCAGGUUGACCUCGGAUCAGGUAGGGAUACCCGCUGAACUUAAGCAUAUCAAUAAGCGGAGGA
RNAcentral lists this unclassified non-coding RNA (347 nucleotides) under soil metagenome. Its description in RNAcentral is "partial contains 5.8S ribosomal RNA, internal transcribed spacer 2, and large subunit ribosomal RNA". The stretch from base 1 to 120 matches the Rfam family "5.8S ribosomal RNA", at positions 35 to 154 of the family's 154-position model. The record is from RNAcentral.